UGAAAGACUUACAUCUCUUCGGAGCAUUUUACGAGGUGCUGCAUGGUUGUCGUCAGCUCGUGCCGUGAGGUGUCGGGUAAGUCCCACUAACGAGCGCAACCCCUACCUUAGUUGCCAUCAGGUAAUGCUGGGGACUCUAAAGGAACUGCCUACGCAAGUAGUGAGGAAGGCGGGGAUGACGUCAAAUCAGCACGGCCCUUACGUCCAGGGCUACACACGUGCUACAAUGGCCGAUACAGAGGGCAGCUACCUGGUGACAGGAUGCAAAUCUCCAAAGUCGGUCUCAGUUCGGAUCGGAGUCUGCAACCCGACUCCGUGAAGUCGGAAUCGCUAGUAAUCGUGAAUCAGAAUGUCACGGUGAAUACGUUCCCGGGCCUU
RNAcentral lists this ribosomal RNA (378 nucleotides) under uncultured Sphingobacteriales bacterium. Its description in RNAcentral is "bacterial SSU rRNA". It matches the Rfam family "Bacterial small subunit ribosomal RNA", at positions 1002 to 1382 of the family's 1533-position model. Lineage: Bacteria; Pseudomonadati; Bacteroidota; Sphingobacteriia; Sphingobacteriales. The record is from RNAcentral.